UUAUGGUACUAACUACCCGAGUCAGGCCAGGUGUAGAACAGUUAUGGUACUAACUACCCGAGUCAGGCCAGGUGUAGAACAGUUAUGGUACUAACUACCCGAGUCAGGCCAGGUGUAGAACAGUUAUGGUACUAACUACCCGAGUCAGGCCAGGUGUAGAACAGUUAUGGUACUAACUACCCGAGUCAGGCCAGGUGUAGAACAGGUAUGGUACUGUUGUGUAAACCACCAUCCUAUGUAUGUGAAACAAAAUUGUUACACCAAAACAUUACCGGUCAGAAAAA
Long non-coding RNA from Pecten maximus, 284 nucleotides. RefSeq lists it as uncharacterized. The transcript has 2 exons. The record is from RefSeq and is a predicted model, not a curated record. Lineage: Eukaryota; Metazoa; Mollusca; Bivalvia; Pectinida; Pectinidae.